UUCGAGAGGUCCAAGCGUUAGUCGGAAUCACUGGGCUUAAAGGGUGCGUAGGCGGGCCAGUAAGUGUCUCGUGAAAUCCCAUGGCUCAACCAUGGAACUGCGGGGCAUACUGCUGGUCUUGAGGAAGCUAGAGGCCGGCGGAACGAUAGGUGGAGCGGUGGAAUGCGUAGAUAUCUAUCGGAACGCCAGAGGUGAAGACAGCCGGCUGGGGCUUUCCUGACGCUCAGGCACGAAAGCGUGGGGAUCAAACAGG
RNAcentral lists this ribosomal RNA (253 nucleotides) under uncultured bacterium. Its description in RNAcentral is "partial 16S ribosomal RNA". It matches the Rfam family "Bacterial small subunit ribosomal RNA", at positions 524 to 776 of the family's 1533-position model. The record is from RNAcentral.